GAUGAAGAACGUAGCGAAAUGCGAUAAGUAAUGUGAAUUGCAGAAUUCAGUGAAUCAUCGAAUCUUUGAACGCACAUUGCGCCCGCCAGUAGUCUGGCGGGCAUGCCUGUUCGAGCGUCAUUUCAACCAUCAAGCCCCAGGCUUGUGUUGGGGACCUGCGGCUGCCGCAGGCCCUGAAAACCAGUGGCGGGCUCGCUGUCACACCGGGCGUAGUAGAUUUUAUCUCGCUCAGGGCGUGCUGCGGGUUCCGGCCGUUAAAAAGCCUUUUUUACCCAAGGUUGACCUCGGAUCAGGUAGGAAGACCCGCUGAACUUAAGCAUAUCAAUAAGCGGAGGA
This 336-nucleotide unclassified non-coding RNA is filed under the name soil metagenome. Its description in RNAcentral is "partial contains 5.8S ribosomal RNA, internal transcribed spacer 2, and large subunit ribosomal RNA". The stretch from base 1 to 120 matches the Rfam family "5.8S ribosomal RNA", at positions 35 to 154 of the family's 154-position model. The record is from RNAcentral.